Molecule: ribosomal RNA, 448 nt
Filed under: uncultured bacterium
Lineage: Bacteria
Description: bacterial SSU rRNA
Rfam family: Bacterial small subunit ribosomal RNA
Source: RNAcentral
UCCAGACUCCUACGGGAGGCAGCAGUGGGGGAUAUUGCACAAUGGGGGAAACCCUGAUGCAGCGACGCCGCGUGGGCGAAGAAGUAUUUCGGUAUGUAAAGCCCUAUCAGCAGGGAAGAAGAAAUGACGGUACCUGAGUAAGAAGCACCGGCUAAAUACGUGCCAGCAGCCGCGGUAAUACGUAUGGUGCAAGCGUUAUCCGGAUUUACUGGGUGUAAAGGGAGCGUAGACGGCAGAGCAAGUCUGAAGUGAAAGCCCGCGGCCCAACUGCGGGACUGCUUUGGAGACUGCCCGGCUAGAGUGCUGGAGAGGUAAGCGGAAUUCCUAGUGUAGCGGUGAAAUGCGUAGAUAUUAGGAGGAACACCAGUGGCGAAGGCGGCUUACUGGACAGUAACUGACGUUGAGGCUCGAAAGCGUGGGGAGCAAACAGGAUUAGAUACCCGCGUAC